Molecule: transfer RNA, 86 nt
Filed under: Calditrichota bacterium
Lineage: Bacteria; Pseudomonadati; Calditrichota
Also listed under: 1 other name
Description: Calditrichaeota bacterium (activated sludge metagenome) tRNA-Leu
Rfam family: tRNA
About the family: Transfer RNA (tRNA) molecules are approximately 80 nucleotides in length. Their secondary structure includes four short double-helical elements and three loops (D, anti-codon, and T loops).
Source: RNAcentral
GCCCGGGUGGCGGAAUUGGUAGACGCAAGGGACUUAAAAUCCCUCGCUCUUUAUUGAGCGUGCCGGUUCGAGUCCGGCCCCGGGUA